AACGAAUGCUGGCGGCGCGUCUUAAGCAUGCAAGUCGAACGGCAAGAGAGGAGCUUGCUUCUCUCCUAGAGUGGCGGACUGGUGAGGAGCACGUGGGUAAUCUACCCUUAAGAUGGGGAUAGCUGCUAGAAAUAGCAGGUAAUACCGAAUACACUCGGCAUAUCACAAGAGGUGUUGAGGAAAGGAAGCUACGGCUUCGCUUGAGGAUGAGCUUGCGUCCCAUUAGCUAGUUGGUGAGGUAAAGGCCCACCAAGGCGACGAUGGGUAUCCGGCCUGAGAGGGUGAACGGACACAUUGGGACUGAGAUACGGCCCAAACUCCUACGGGAGGCAGCAGCUAAGAAUAUUCCGCAAUGGACGGAAGUCUGACGGAGCGACGCCGCGUGGAUGAAGAAGGCUGAAAAGUUGUAAAAUCCUUUUGUUGAUGAAGAAUAAGGGUGAGAGGGAAUGCUCAUCUGAUGACGGUAAUCGACGAAUAAGCCCCGGCUAAUUACGUG
RNAcentral lists this ribosomal RNA (496 nucleotides) under uncultured bacterium. Its description in RNAcentral is "partial 16S ribosomal RNA". It matches the Rfam family "Bacterial small subunit ribosomal RNA", at positions 29 to 507 of the family's 1533-position model. The record is from RNAcentral.